This 1846-nucleotide long non-coding RNA is filed under the name Piliocolobus tephrosceles (Ugandan red Colobus). RNAcentral's name for it is "lncRNA (ENSPTEG00000032855.1)". Lineage: Eukaryota; Metazoa; Chordata; Mammalia; Primates; Cercopithecidae. The record is from RNAcentral.
AUGAAAAAGAACAGAAAAUAUGUGUCAAUUGAUAGUAGCAAAAUUAAAUUUGUCGAAAAUUCUGAAUCUGAAGAUGUAGAAUUUAUUAACACAGAUGAAAGUGAUGCUGUUGAAUUAGAUUCAGAUUACAGUUUAUUAAGUAGUGACAAUUCUGCUAAAAAUGAAGUACAAAAUGAUGAAGAAAAUGAUGAAGAAAAUGGAGAGAAAAAAACAAAUGAUGACUAUGUAAAAAUUUCAUGGAAAAAAGAUAAGAAAGAUUAUUACCAAGAUGAAAGUGAAGAAUCAUCUAGUGAUGAUGAUGAUAAUGAUGGAGGUAGUGAUAGUGAUGGAGGUAGUGAUAGUGAUGGAGGUAGUGAUAGUGAUGGAGAUGGUGGUAGUCAAAAUGAAGAAGAAGGAGAUAUAAACACCGAAAAGGACAAAAAGAAAAAGUACAAAAUCAGUAAAAGUUUGAUAACAGAAUACACUGACAGCCAUAUUCGAGAAAAACUAAAAGAAGAAAAAAAAAAGAAAAGAGAUAGUAUAAAAAAUGAAAGAAGUAUAUUGUUAAAAGAGAUAAAAGAUAUGGUUUCUACCCGUCCUGAAAAAGUAGAAGAUUCAAAUUAUUUUAAAAAAAUAGAAUCAAAACUUUUAGAUUUUGAUGAAAAGAUUUUAAAUAGAAAAUUAAAAAUAUCAAAUAAAAAAAAAAAAAAACAUAUAAAUAAUUUAAGUAAUGUUGGUAUGACAUCAAUCGAUUUAUUAAAAUUUGUUGAAUUGUCAGGAAAGAAUGAAGAAAAUAAUAAUAGUAAUAAUAAUAAUAAUAAUAAUAAUAAUAGGACAAAAAAUUAUGGCAAUAAUAAAAAUCAAAUGGUGGAAGAAGAAAGAAAAAUAUUUAAAAAUAAUAUCCAUAAGGUAAAACAAAUGAACAAAAGUAAAUUUUCUACAAGCAAUAAUGAUGAUAAACAAAAUGAUGAUUUUGUGACAUAUAAAACGUUCGAAAAAAAUAAAAAUAAUAAAAAAGUAUCUUUUAGUAUGGAAGAACAUAACACAGAAAAUACCAAUUUAAUAAAACUAGGAAACAAAUCAGAGUAUUCCUCCCAAAUUAAAGAUGAACAAAUUCAAAAUAUGUUUAACUAUUUGAAAAAGAAAAAAGAAAAUAAAAAAUUAAUUAGCCAAGAAAAAAAUAAAGAAAUAAGAAAAAAACUAGUUGACGAAGAAAAUGAAAUAAUUGAUAGACGAAUGCCCAAUAAAAAUAUUAUACAAAAUAAAGGUCUAAUCAGGAAAAGAAAAUCAACCGACGGUAAUGCAAGAGUCCAUAACAAACAAAAAUAUCAAAAGAAAUUAAAGGUAUUUAACACACAACAUGCUAAAUUAAAAACUCACGAGCACAACUAUUCGGGAGAAAAACGAGGAAUCAAUCCUUACUUGAAAAAAUCAGUAGAUAUAAAGUGAAGUUUAUAUUGUUCAGAUGGACGGAUAAAGUAGUGAAUACGUGUAAAUAUUUAUAUAUAUAUAUAUAUAUAUAUAUAUAUAUAUAUGUUCUAUUUUUUUUUUUUUUUUUUUUUUGUUUGUUUUUUUUUUUACAUAUUACAUUUACCCCUCUGCUUUUACGUAUACGUAUGCAUAUACAUAUAUAUACAUACGAGUAUUUUUUUUUUUUUUUUUUUACAACAUAAAUACUAUUUUAAAAGCAUUUUUUAAUUUUCAUAAAAUUUAAAAAUUUUUAUAUAUUUUAUUUUAUUAAUGUGUUUAAAUUAUAAGUACAUACUUUUUUUAAAAAAGUUUAUUUUGUUACGUCUAAUUUUACAUAUAUCAACUUAUUUAUACGGGGCAUUUAAAAAGAAAUAAAAAUACCCUUUCUGAGUAUUCA